GACGAACGCUGGCGGCGUGCUUAACACAUGCAAGUCGAACGGUGAAGCGCCUUCCUUUUUGGUGGGUGUGGAUGAGUGGCGAACGGGUGAGUAACACGUGAGUAACCUGCCCCCUUCUUCUGGAUAACCGCAUGAAAGUGUGGCUAAUACGGGAUAUUCUGGGUCUGUCGCAUGAUGGGUCUGGGAAAGAUAUUGUUUCGGUGGGGGAUGGGCUCGCGGCCUAUCAGCUUGUUGGUGGGGUGAUGGCCUACCAAGGCGGUGACGGGUAGCCGGCCUGAGAGGGUGGACGGUCACACUGGGACUGAGACACGGCCCAGACUCCUACGGGGGGCAGCAGUGGGGAAUAUUGCACAAUGGGCGCAAGCCUGAUGCAGCGACGCCGCGUGAGGGAUGGAGGCCGUCGGGUUGUGAACAUCUUUCGCCAGUGAAGCAGGCCUGCCUCGUUUGUGGGUGGGUUGACGGUAGCUGGAUAAGAAGCGCCGGCUAACUACGUG
RNAcentral lists this ribosomal RNA (494 nucleotides) under uncultured bacterium. RNAcentral describes it as "partial 16S ribosomal RNA". It matches the Rfam family "Bacterial small subunit ribosomal RNA", at positions 28 to 507 of the family's 1533-position model. The record is from RNAcentral.